GAAGUGAUGCAAAUUCUCAGAAUGUAAGUGUAAUGCAGCUAACUCACUUUAGUGAUUUAUCUUAACUUCUAUUUACUACCUUCAGAUCUAUUCUAUUUCAUCAGUUGCUUCAAAUGUGGAUUUUCUGGUUCGUUAACUUUAUCAGUCAGAGUUGUUUCGAUGCGGAGCUCUUUUUUUUUUUGGGACAAGAUAAUGUGAAUAUUUAGG
Molecule: unclassified non-coding RNA, 207 nt
Filed under: Hevea brasiliensis (rubber tree)
Lineage: Eukaryota; Viridiplantae; Streptophyta; Magnoliopsida; Malpighiales; Euphorbiaceae
Source: RNAcentral